AGCGGCAACAGCUCAAAUUUGAAAUCUGGCGCCUUGUGCGCCCGAGUUGUAAUUUGUAGAGGAUGUUUCGGGUGCGGCACCGAUCUAAGUUCCUUGGAACAGGGCGUCAUAGAGGGUGAGAAUCCCGUAUGUGACCGGUCGCCUAUCCCAUGUGAAACUCCUUCGACGAGUCGAGUUGUUUGGGAAUGCAGCUCAAAAUGGGUGGUAUAUUUCAUCUAAAGCUAAAUAUUGGCCAGAGACCGAUAGCGCACAAGUAGAGUGAUCGAAAGAUGAAAAGCACUUUGGAAAGAGAGUUAAAAAGUACGUGAAAUUGUUGAAAGGGAAGCGCUUGCGACCAGACUCGCCCGGGGGUGAUCAACCGUCCUUUUGGGCGGUGCACUUUCCCUCGGGCGGGCCAGCAUCGGUUCGGGCGGCUGGAUAAAGGCUUCGGGAAUGUAGCUCCUCUCGGGGAGUGUUAUAGCCCGGGGUGCAAUGCAGCCAGUCUGGACCGAGGACCGCGCUUUUGCUAGGAUGCUGGCGUAAUGGUCGUCAGCGACCCGUCUUGAAACACGGACCAAGGAGUUAACCACCGGUGCGAGUGUUUGGGUGUCAAACCCGUACGCGUAAUGAAAGUGAACGGAGGUGAGAACCCCUUUCGGGGCGCAUCAUCGACCGAUCCUGAUGUCUUCGGAUGGAUUUGAGUAAGAGCACCGUUGGUUUGACCCGAAAGAUGGUGAUCUUUACGCGGAUAGGGUGAAGCCAGAGGAAACUCU
RNAcentral lists this ribosomal RNA (752 nucleotides) under Hormodochis aggregata. RNAcentral's name for it is "partial large subunit ribosomal RNA". It matches the Rfam family "Eukaryotic large subunit ribosomal RNA", at positions 97 to 865 of the family's 3401-position model. Lineage: Eukaryota; Fungi; Ascomycota. The record is from RNAcentral.